GGACUUCGGACGGCUAAUACCGGAUAAUCCUUUCCCUCACAUGAGGGAAAGCUGAAAGACGGUUUCGGCUGUCACUUACAGAUGGGCCCGCGGCGCAUUAGCUAGUUGGUGAGGUAACGGCUCACCAAGGCAACGAUGCGUAGCCGACCUGAGAGGGUGAUCGGCCACACUGGGACUGAGACACGGCCCAGACUCCUACGGGAGGCAGCAGUAGGGAAUCUUCCGCAAUGGACGAAAGUCUGACGGAGCAACGCCGCGUGAACGAUGAAGGCUUUCGGGUCGUAAAGUUCUGUUGUCAGGGAAGAACAAGUACCGGAGUAACUGCCGGUACCUUGACGGUACCUGACCAGAAAGCCACGGCUAACUACGUGCCAGCAGCC
RNAcentral lists this ribosomal RNA (380 nucleotides) under bacterium Apg0637. RNAcentral describes it as "bacterial SSU rRNA". It matches the Rfam family "Bacterial small subunit ribosomal RNA", at positions 152 to 516 of the family's 1533-position model. The record is from RNAcentral.